CCUCUCCUCACACUCUUUCGGCCCCCAAGUUUCUCAGGCGUGGAGUGCGACGGGCGGAGGGAGAAACGGACGGCAGCAAGAGGGAAAAACGAGGAUUCACCAAACUGAGGAUAAAUUGUUCGAGGGCAAGUGAGGUCAAAGCGAGUAAUCGAAUUGAAGAAUAAGCAUACCAGGUUGAACGUCAAGAGGAUGGAGUGAUGAUCGGAGUCGAUGUUAUCAAGUUGAUCUCCCAACGAUUCGUGUCUUCACACACGAAGUCGUUUAGUAAGGACUUAUUCCGCUGCUCUUUUGUGAAGUGAGAAUUGUAGAACCUCACCAUCAACUCUGAUUUAGUUGAGGAGAUGUUUAUUCUGUUUUCCAGACCAUGUAAUGAAAUACUUGGCCUCUUGAUAUAAAAUGACUUGGCCUUUGU
This is a long non-coding RNA of Salvia hispanica, 412 nucleotides long. RefSeq lists it as uncharacterized. The record is from RefSeq and is a predicted model, not a curated record. NCBI's taxonomy places the organism in Eukaryota, Viridiplantae, Streptophyta, Magnoliopsida, Lamiales, Lamiaceae.